UUCGCCUCCUCCGCCUCUCUCUCUCUCUCCGGUCUGUAACCUUCUUCUCGCUUCUCACAAAUUUGUCCUGUCAAAGCUGUAAUCCAUGGUUUCCGAUGGCAAGUCGUUUAUCGACCGUGGUUAAGCUUUUUAUCCACAAUAUCGCGCUUUGUUCGAAGCUCUCAAAUCCAACCCUGGACUAUAGUAAUUACAUUUAUGCUUACAAAAUACCUGAAUUUCUGACCUAAACUCACAAAUUUCAUUAUCCAAAACCUAACCCUAUCUCGUUUCUGCUAGCCGAUUCUACUCAACUGCCGCUGAUUUCGCGAUGUUAGUUCACAAACCUAAUUCCAGAAUGCCUUAGUGGAAGAACAGAGAGGUCAACAACACUAUAAGACAAAGUCCAGAUUUAGAUUUUAAAAACAUUUUCACAGAUUCGUAAGUUUGGACCAACCGGACUCUUAUUGCUCCUCUCCUCCUGUGGAGAGGGCUAACCUGAGAAGCAAAAUGUAUUCUGAGGGGCUUUUUACAGCAAAAUUCGGAGAGUUAAUUUGAAAGUUUUUCGUUUGUGGGGUUGAAUAUCUGAUUACACCGCACUAUUUAUAGUAGAUUUUCAAUUAGAUAUUGUGGUUUGUUCUAUGCCCCUUCGAAAAAAAACAAAGUGUCUUGGAAGUAUGAAGAUCCAACAAAACGUUUCAGAUUCCAAGAGCAGAUUCAUUAGUCUUAUGUUCAAUUAAAUUUAAAAUAGAUCUGAUUUAUUAGGAUGUAUUAGUAGUAUUGCAAGUUUGCUUCUCUAUGUAUUUAUGAAUGUGUAAUUAAUUCAAAUUUAAAAUGGAACAAAAAACAUAGAUGGGAACCAUCUAGAUAUCUGUAAAACAAUAUAAACAGCAUUUAGUACUCCUGGAUUGAGUCUACCUAGUAAAACGGCAGCUUCUCUACCUAGAAAUUGCAUUAAAUGAAAUGGAAAAAUCUGCUAUU
Ipomoea nil (Japanese morning glory) is the source of this 957-nucleotide long non-coding RNA. RefSeq lists it as uncharacterized. The record is from RefSeq and is a predicted model, not a curated record. The transcript has 3 exons. Lineage: Eukaryota; Viridiplantae; Streptophyta; Magnoliopsida; Solanales; Convolvulaceae.